This 1372-nucleotide ribosomal RNA is filed under the name uncultured bacterium. RNAcentral describes it as "bacterial SSU rRNA". It matches the Rfam family "Bacterial small subunit ribosomal RNA", at positions 28 to 1381 of the family's 1533-position model. The record is from RNAcentral.
GAUGAACGCUGGCGGCGUGCCUAAUACAUGCAAGUCGAGCGAACGGACGAGAAGCUUGCUUCUCUGAUGUUAGCGGCGGACGGGUGAGUAACACGUGGAUAACCUACCUAUAAGACUGGGAUAACUUCGGGAAACCGGAGCUAAUACCGGAUAAUAUUUUGAACCGCAUGGUUCAAAAGUGAAAGACGGUCUUGCUGUCACUUAUAGAUGGAUCCGCGCUGCAUUAGCUAGUUGGUAAGGUAACGGCUUACCAAGGCAACGAUGCAUAGCCGACCUGAGAGGGUGAUCGGCCACACUGGAACUGAGACACGGUCCAGACUCCUACGGGAGGCAGCAGUAGGGAAUCUUCCGCAAUGGGCGAAAGCCUGACGGAGCAACGCCGCGUGAGUGAUGAGGGUCUUCGGAUCGUAAAACUCUGUUAUUAGGGAAGAACAUAUGUGUAAGUAACUGUGCACAUCUUGACGGUACCUAAUCAGAAAGCCACGGCUAACUACGUGCCAGCAGCCGCGGUAAUACGUAGGUGGCAAGCGUUAUCCGGAAUUAUUGGGCGUAAAGCGCGCGUAGGCGGUUUUUUAAGUCUGAUGUGAAAGCCCACGGCUCAACCGUGGAGGGUCAUUGGAAACUGGAAAACUUGAGUGCAGAAGAGGAAAGUGGAAUUCCAUGUGUAGCGGUGAAAUGCGCAGAGAUAUGGAGGAACACCAGUGGCGAAGGCGACUUUCUGGUCUGUAACUGACGCUGAUGUGCGAAAGCGUGGGGAUCAAACAGGAUUAGAUACCCUGGUAGUCCACGCCGUAAACGAUGAGUGCUAAGUGUUAGGGGGUUUCCGCCCCUUAGUGCUGCAGCUAACGCAUUAAGCACUCCGCCUGGGGAGUGCGACCGCAAGGUUGAAACUCAAAGGAAUUGACGGGGACCCGCACAAGCGGUGGAGCAUGUGGUUUAAUUCGAAGCAACGCGAAGAACCUUACCAAAUCUUGACAUCCUUUGACAACUCUAGAGAUAGAGCCUUCCCCUUCGGGGGACAAAGUGACAGGUGGUGCGUGGUUGUCGUCAGCUCGUGUCGUGAGAUGUUGGGUUAAGUCCCGCAACGAGCGCAACCCUUAAGCUUAGUUGCCAUCAUUAAGUUGGGCACUCUAAGUUGACUGCCGGUGACAAACCGGAGGAAGGUGGGGAUGACGUCAAAUCAUCAUGCCCCUUAUGAUUUGGGCUACACACGUGCUACAAUGGACAAUACAAAGGGCAGCGAAACCGCGAGGUCAAGCAAAUCCCAUAAAGUUGUUCUCAGUUCGGAUUGUAGUCUGCAACUCGACUACAUGAAGCUGGAAUCGCUAGUAAUCGUAGAUCAGCAUGCUACGGUGAAUACGUUCCCGGGUCU